CCUACGGGUGGCAGCAGUGAGGAAUAUUGGUCAAUGGGCGCUAGCCUGAUCCAGCCACGCCGCGUGAAUGAUGACUGCUCUCGGGGUGGUAAGCUUCUUUUGUAUGGGAGUAAGGUGCAGUAUGUAUACUGCUUUGCAUGUACCUUAUGAAUAAGGAUCGGCUAACUCCGUGCCAGCAGCCGCGGUAAUACGGAGGAUUCGAGCGUUGUCCGGAUUUAGUGGGUUUAAAGGGAGCGUAGGCGGGUUGUUAAGUCAGUUGUGAAAGGUUGCGGCUCAACCGUAAAAUUGCAGUUGAUACUGGCAUCCUUGAGUACAGUAGAGGUAGGUGGAAUUCGUGGUGUAGCGGUGAAAUGCGUAGAUAUCACGAAGAACUCCGAUUGCGAAGGCAGCUUGCUGGACUGUAACUGACGCUGAUGCUCGAAAGUGUGGGUAGCAAACAGGAUUAGAUACCCUUGUAGUC
This 460-nucleotide ribosomal RNA is filed under the name uncultured bacterium. Its description in RNAcentral is "partial 16S ribosomal RNA". It matches the Rfam family "Bacterial small subunit ribosomal RNA", at positions 338 to 795 of the family's 1533-position model. The record is from RNAcentral.